This 415-nucleotide ribosomal RNA is filed under the name uncultured soil bacterium. Its description in RNAcentral is "bacterial SSU rRNA". It matches the Rfam family "Bacterial small subunit ribosomal RNA", at positions 26 to 438 of the family's 1533-position model. The record is from RNAcentral.
AGGACGAACGCUGGCGGCGUGCUUAACACAUGCAAGUCGAGCGGUAAGGCCUUUCGGGGUACACGAGCGGCGAACGGGUGAGUAACACGUGGGUGAUCUGCCCUGCACUCUGGGAUAAGCCUGGGAAACUGGGUCUAAUACCGGAUAUGACCUGCUCUCGCAGUGGGGGUGGGUGGAAAGAUUUAUCGGUGCAGGAUGGGCCCGCGGCCUAUCAGCUUGGUUGGUGGGUAAUGGCCUACCAAGGCGACGACGGGUAGCCGACCUGAGAGGGUGACCGGCCACACGUGGGACUGAGACACGGCCCAGACUCCGUACGGGAGCAGCAGUGGGAAUAUGCACAAUGGGACGAAAGCCUGAUGCAGCGACGCCGCGUGAGGAUAGGAAGGUCCGUUACGGGUUACGUAAACCUUCGUUU